CGGGAUGUGACAGUUUAGGCUGGGAGCAGAAAUAAUCAACAUGCCCAUUAGAUACAGGAUGGAAUAAUGCUUCUACUGGUUGGGUCCCUUCGAGGACAGAAGAGCUCCUUGGCACUGGAUGCCUCCGGGUCUGGUUGAGAGAGGAAUGGUUAGGAGACUGUUCUGAGGAUACGCAGACAUCAUCCAAAGCUUCCUACAUUCAGAUGAGGACAGAGGUUGGGCCAGAGCUUUGUAUGCUUGUUACCUAAGGAUGGUUCUGACCAUGUAAGCAGAUCACAGAAGAGCCAGCCUUGACAAUGUGCUGUUGGCAACCU
This 314-nucleotide non-coding RNA is filed under the name Pan troglodytes (chimpanzee). The record is from RNAcentral. Lineage: Eukaryota; Metazoa; Chordata; Mammalia; Primates; Hominidae.